GGGCCGAGCGGGGCCGAGCCCGGCAGGUGCCCCGGGGAUGCUCCGAGCGCUCCCGCGGGGGCUCCGCGAUGCGCCGGCGGCGCGGCCGCUCACCCGAAAUCCUGGUCCAUGGACUUGAAGAAGAACUUGUAGCUGUGCACGGGCCGGUUGCUGAGGACAUUUUUGAAAUCGGCCAGCGUGACUUUCUCCGGCGGCACCGGCAGCUUCACCAGGACAGGGACAUUCACUUCUCAGUGUUCAGCUACUCUCUGUGAAGGGGUAAAUCACAGCUCAGUGACUGAAUUACCUGUCACUGGAAUGAUUUCUCUACCAGCACAAAACAGAGGAGCCAACUGUGUUAGUGGCUCACAGAAGCACUGGAUAAUCCACAACUCAACAAGGUUUAACAACACUGAGAAACCAAAACAUCAUCACCUGCCUGCUGCCAUUUCUGGUUUAGUGAAGGAAUUACAAAAUCCCAGCCACUGGAGUUCUCCAGCUGAUGUUCCUGCCACUCAUCACUGCUAAAUGGGAAUGCCUGUGUGAUCAUCAAACAGGAUAAACAGCAAGGUAAAGCUGCUUUCCUGGAAAAUCAGAUCCGUUGCCUGGAGACAAGAGAAAAGUGACAAGAUGCCCCAGCAAUACCCCAGCAGAGACCAGUAAAGCCCCACAGCAGCACCAGAGAGGGUAUUUAGGAAUGGUGAUUCACCCCAGGGAAGAGGUGCUAUGGAAUGGAGUGGGAUUUCCAGCCAGGGAAGAGAGCAGUUCCAUAUCCUGCUUUGAUCCUUCAAAUUCCUGCCCCUGCACCGUCCAUCCAAGCUGUUUCCAUCAGUGUCCCUGGAAGAACUCUGGUGCCAGCUGGGAUAGUGCUCAGGGGGUGGAAACCCUCCAAGAGCAGAAUGUGCAGCAGGAAGAACUUCGCAAGGUGUGAGUUCUGCAAGCAAAGAGGAAUCUGGGCUGGGAGUGAAAUAACAUAUUCCAGCAGGAUGUGUUAUCUUCCCUUCUGGACCUGCAAAAUUAAAUCCUGUGGAAGAGCUGCCAGCCUUCCCCUCUGAUGGAUGGUUUGAACUCCAUCUCCAGCUGCGGAUCCGCCCGUUACACAACACUUUUGGAGAGCUGCUAUUUCUCCACGGGCCCCAUGACCCUGUCAAAUAAUAAUGUCCCAACGUGGAAAGGAUAUUGGAAUCACUGGAAUAACUUAUUGAAUCCAAUCUGCACUUUGUAAAGCACUUUAGGAUGCUCUGAGAUGAAACACACUGCACAGCUCUUGGGAAGAAUUAGCUAAUGCUGGCUAAUGGCUCAGGUAGCAUCUCCAAAGAGCAAGAAAUAAAACCAACCUUAGCUGGAAACUCCAUUAAAUUCUCCUUUAUUUCUUAAACACUAGGAAUUACACAGCAAUGACAAAUGGUAAAAGUUAAGCAACAAUAAUAAUGAAAAUUAAUUCAGUUACAACAAAUUAAAAAGAAAAAAACAAACCACAAGCUUUCUGGACUAAGUCCUUCUCUCAGUCUGGAGAGGAAGCAGAGUGUGCACAGAGCUGAAAAGAGUCUAGUUCUAGUCUCAGUUUUAACCCCUUUCAAGGUCACUGCCAAACAGCCUUUCCUUGUCCCACACCAAGGGCUGACAGUCCACACAUUAUCCUAAAAGAGACUUUGAUUUCUCUGCCCUCAUUGAGCCUCAGUACUCACUGAGGAGGAACUGCUGUAAAAAUUAGGGAUUAUUACUAUUUUGACUAACUGAACAUAAAAUGCAUGUCUCAGGAAGCCAGGGAGGCUGUGAUGAGGCAAAGCCUGCAAAGUGACAGGCAAAGGAGUCUGUCAAGGUGCAACAUUUAAUUGGUACAGGGAGAACAUCAUCUCCAAUAACUCGGGCAAUGCACAUUUACCAAAGUGCUACACACUUUAAAAAGGUGUUUCUCCACCAGAGGCAAGUUACAGCCCCAGAUUAGGGAAAGAAAGGCUGAGAUGAGAGAGAGAGAGAAAACCAACCUGUCUGGCACUGCAGUGAGUCUGUGGCAGAGCAGGGACAGAGAGCAGUGGUCCUGCAACUUGAACCUUUUAAUUUUCACAUGCAAGAUCAGCUACAUGGAACUUCCCCCCGUGCCAGAGACUGACAGACUGCAAAGUGCACUGUGAAAAACCCGAGUGGCUUCUCACCACUAUUUGAGGGCAAACAGCCUUUGAUAAUCCCUCUGCAUUAAGAAAUAAACAGCCAGAACUCUUCAGUUUACUGUU
Long non-coding RNA from Pipra filicauda (Wire-tailed manakin), 2213 nucleotides. RefSeq lists it as uncharacterized. The record is from RefSeq and is a predicted model, not a curated record. Lineage: Eukaryota; Metazoa; Chordata; Aves; Passeriformes; Pipridae. The transcript has 5 exons.